RNAcentral lists this ribosomal RNA (430 nucleotides) under Bacteroidota bacterium. RNAcentral's name for it is "Bacteroidetes bacterium partial 16S ribosomal RNA". It matches the Rfam family "Bacterial small subunit ribosomal RNA", at positions 355 to 776 of the family's 1533-position model. The record is from RNAcentral. Lineage: Bacteria; Pseudomonadati; Bacteroidota.
UAGGGAAUCUUCGGCAAUGGGGGGAACCCUGACCGAGCAACGCCGCGUGAGGGAAGAAGGUUUUCGGAUCUUAAAGCUCUGUUGUUAAGGAAGAACGAGUGUGAGAAUGGAAAGUUCAUGCUGUGACGGUACUUAACCAGAAAGGGACGGCUAACUACGUGCCAGCAGCCGCGGUAAUACGUAGGUCCCGAGCGUUGUCCGGAUUUAUUGGGCGUAAAGCGAGCGCAGGCGGUCAAGUAAGUCUGAUGUGAAAGCCCCCGGCUCAACCGGGGAGGGUCAUUGGAAACUGGUUGACUUGAGUGCAGAAAAGGAGAGUGGAAUUCCAGAGUUAGCGGUGAAAUGGUUGGGUAUAUGGAGGAAAACCAGUGGGGAAGGCGACUCUUUGGUCUGUAACUGACGCUGAGGCUCGAAAGCGUGGGUAGCAAACAGG